CAGCGACUUUCUUCAGCAGAAACGCUGC
RNAcentral lists this non-coding RNA (28 nucleotides) under Rattus norvegicus (Norway rat). Lineage: Eukaryota; Metazoa; Chordata; Mammalia; Rodentia; Muridae. The record is from RNAcentral.